GACGAACGCUGGCGGCGUGCUUAACACAUGCGAGUCGAACGGAAAGGCCCUGCUUUUGUGGGGUGCUCGAGUGGCGAACGGGUGAGUAACACGUGAGUAACCUGCCCUUGACUUUGGGAUAACUUCAGGAAACUGGGGCUAAUACCGGAUAGGAGCUCCUGCUGCAUGGUGGGGGUUGGAAAGUUUCGGCGGUUGGGGAUGGACUCGCGGCUUAUCAGCUUGUUGGUGGGGUGGUGGCUUACCAAGGCUUUGACGGGUAGCCGGCCUGAGAGGGUGACCGGCCACAUUGGGACUGAGAUACGGCCCAGACUCCUACGGGAGGCAGCAGUGGGGAAUAUUGCACAAUGGGCGGAAGCCUGAUGCAGCAACGCCGCGUGCGGGAUGACGGCCUUCGGGUUGUAAACCGCUUUCGCCUGUGACGAAGCGUGAGUGACGGUAAUGGGUAAAGAAGCACCGGCUAACUACGUG
This 468-nucleotide ribosomal RNA is filed under the name uncultured bacterium. Its description in RNAcentral is "partial 16S ribosomal RNA". It matches the Rfam family "Bacterial small subunit ribosomal RNA", at positions 28 to 507 of the family's 1533-position model. The record is from RNAcentral.